This is a non-coding RNA of Acidimicrobium sp., 83 nucleotides long. NCBI's taxonomy places the organism in Bacteria, Bacillati, Actinomycetota, Acidimicrobiia, Acidimicrobiales, Acidimicrobiaceae. The record is from Rfam.
GGGCGAGUGGCGAAAUGGCAGACGCGCUGGCUUCAGGUGCCAGUGUUCGCAAGGACGUGGGGGUUCAAGUCCCCCCUCGCCCA